Molecule: ribosomal RNA, 812 nt
Filed under: uncultured bacterium
Lineage: Bacteria
Description: bacterial SSU rRNA
Rfam family: Bacterial small subunit ribosomal RNA
Source: RNAcentral
ACAUGCAAGUCGAACGAUGAAACCUUAGCUUGCUAAGGUGGAUUAGUGGCGCACGGGUGAGUAAUAUAUAGAUAACGUGCCUCUUAGUCUGGGAUAGCCAUUGGAAACGAUGAUUAAUACCGGAUACUCCUUCUCAUUAUAAUUUGAGUUGGGAAAGUUUUUCGCUAAGAGAUCGGUCUAUAUCCCAUCAGCUUGUUGGUAGUGUAAGAGACUACCAAGGCAAUGACGGGUAGCGGGUUUGAGAGGAUGAUCCGCCACACUGGUACUGAGACACGGACCAGACUCCUACGGGAGGCAGCAGUGAGGAAUAUUGCACAAUGGAGGAAACUCUGAUGCAGCAACGCCGCGUGGAGGAUGACGCAUUUCGGUGUGUAAACUCCUUUUAUAGGUCAAGAAAAUGACGGUAGCCUAUGAAUAAGCACCGGCUAACUCCGUGCCAGCAGCCGCGGUAAUACGGAGGGUGCAAGCGUUAUUCGGAAUCACUGGGCGUAAAGGACACGUAGGCGGGAAGCCAAGUCUGAUGUGAAAUCCUAUGGCUUAACCAUAGAACUGCAUUGGAAACUGGUUACCUAGAGUAUGGGAGGGGGAGAUGGAAUUAGUGGUGUAGGGGUAAAAUCCGUAGAUAUCACUAGGAAUACCUAAAGCGAAGGCGAUCUCCUGGAACAUUACUGACGCUAAGGUGUGAAAGCGUGGGGAGCAAACGGGAUUAGAUACCCCGGUAGUCCACGCCCUAAACGAUGUUCACUAGUCGUCGGGAUGCUAGUCAUCUCGGUGAUGCACUUAACAGAUUAAGUGAACCGCCUGGGGAGUAC